This 93-nucleotide non-coding RNA is filed under the name marine eukaryotic metagenome. Its description in RNAcentral is "Glycine riboswitch". It matches the Rfam family "Glycine riboswitch aptamer", at positions 10 to 85 of the family's 94-position model. Rfam says of the family: This family represents the bacterial glycine riboswitch. Glycine riboswitches usually consist of two metabolite-binding aptamers domains with similar structures in tandem. The record is from RNAcentral.
UCGCGGGAGAGACGGGGCACUCGAUCAGGAGUUGACACCCGCGCCGAAGGAGCAACCGCCUCGGAAACUCUCAGGCAAACGGACCGCAUGGGA